Molecule: unclassified non-coding RNA, 405 nt
Filed under: soil metagenome
Description: partial contains 5.8S ribosomal RNA, internal transcribed spacer 2, and large subunit ribosomal RNA
Rfam family: 5.8S ribosomal RNA (bases 1-121)
Source: RNAcentral
GAUGAAGAACGCAGCGAAAUGCGAUAAGUAAUGUGAAUUGCAGAAUUCAGUGAAUCAUCGAAUCUUUGAACGCACCUUGCGCCCUUUGGCCAUUCCGAAGGGCAUGCCUGUUUGAGUAUCAUGAACACCUCAACUCUUUAUGGUUUUCCAUGAUGAGCUUGGACUCUGGGGGUUUUGCUGGCUCACAGUCGGCUCCUCUAAAAUAAAUCAGCUUACCAGUGUUUGGUGGGUAUCAUGGGUGUGAUAACUAUCUACGCUUGUGGUUUUUCCACCAGGUAACCUUCAGCAGUGGAGGUUCGCUGGAGCUCAUAGAUGUCUCUCCUCAGUGAGGACAGACCUUUGAACGUUUGAUCUCAAAUCAGGUAGGACUACCCGCUGAACUUAAGCAUAUCAAUAAGCGGAGGA